UUGUGUUCUGGCUCAGCGAGAAGUCGGCGCGAUCAUGCCGCGCAAGCCGCUGGUGCGGUGGGUGCGCUGCGCGAUCGCCUCGAGCAGCACGGC
Molecule: transfer RNA, 93 nt
Filed under: Massilia sp. LC238
Lineage: Bacteria; Pseudomonadati; Pseudomonadota; Betaproteobacteria; Burkholderiales; Oxalobacteraceae
Description: tRNA-Met
Source: RNAcentral